AGCAGUAGCCGCGGGAAUACGUAGGUGGCAAGCGUUGUCCGGAAUUAUUGGGCGUAAAGGGCUCGCAGGCGGUUUCUUAAGUCUGAUGUGAAAGCCCCCGGCUCAACCGGGGAGGGUCAUUGGAAACUGGGAAACUUGAGUGCAGAAGAGGAGAGUGGAAUUCCACGUGUAGCGGUGAAAUGCGUAGAGAUGUGGGGGAACACCAGUGGCGAAGGCGACUCUCUGGUCUGUAACUGACGCUGAGGAGCGAAAGCGUGGGGAGCGAACAGGAUUAGAUACCCGGGUAGUCCCUGUCUCUUAUAA
Molecule: ribosomal RNA, 303 nt
Filed under: uncultured bacterium
Lineage: Bacteria
Description: partial 16S ribosomal RNA
Rfam family: Bacterial small subunit ribosomal RNA
Source: RNAcentral